GAGCGAGUUUGUGCUAAUCGCGUCUCAGUGGAGAAGAGGAGAGGUGGCGCGGAGAGGGAAAGGAUAAAAAAGAGAAGGACUCGAAUAAGAAGCUGCUAGGUGUUCAAAAGGUGGAGCUGCAGUACACAACCGGAAAGAGAGCAUAAGACAAGUUCAAGUUCAGGGAGAGCUCCAGACACGGUAGCUGUUCGUGUGUGGCCUGAGUCUUGCCAUGAUUCCUGGCCUGAACAACUGUUCCAGUCUGGCCCUGGUCUCCACCGUG
Colossoma macropomum (tambaqui) is the source of this 262-nucleotide long non-coding RNA. RefSeq lists it as uncharacterized. Lineage: Eukaryota; Metazoa; Chordata; Actinopteri; Characiformes; Serrasalmidae. The record is from RefSeq and is a predicted model, not a curated record. The transcript is spliced from 3 exons.